AAUCUUUUGGGGGGGGAAUUGGUGGAGUUAAAGUAAGGGGCCCUUUUUUUUCUUCCCUACAAAUGUUGCUUCGGCGGGGAGGGUUCGCGUGACCCUCCCGGCCUCCCGCCCCCCCGGGCGGGUCGGCGCCCGCCGGAGGAUAACCAAACUCUGAUUUAACGACGUUUCUUCUGAGUGGUACAAGCAAAUAAUCAAAACUUUUAACAACGGAUCUGUGGGUUCUGGCAUCGAUGAAGAACGCAGCGAAAUGCGAUAAGUAAUGUGAAUUGCAGAAUUCAGUGAAUCAUCGAAUCUUUGAACGCACAUUGGGCCCGCCAGCAUUCUGGCGGGCAUGCCUGUUCGAGCGUCAUUUCAACCCUCAAGCUCUGCUUGGUGUUGGGGCCCUACAGCUGAUGUAGGCCCUCAAAGGUAGUGGCGGACCCUCCCGGAGCCUCCUUUGCGUACUAACUUUACGUCUCGCACUGGGAUCCGGAGGGACUCUUGCCGUAAAACCCCCCAAUUUUCCAAAGGUUGACCUCGGAUCAGGUAGGAAUACCCGCUGAACUUAAGCUUAUCAAUAAGCGGAGGAGGUCCUGG
Molecule: ribosomal RNA, 576 nt
Filed under: Colletotrichum gloeosporioides
Lineage: Eukaryota; Fungi; Ascomycota; Sordariomycetes; Glomerellales; Glomerellaceae
Description: eukaryotic LSU rRNA
Rfam family: 5.8S ribosomal RNA (bases 196-349)
Source: RNAcentral